GAUUUCUCUGUGAAUCACCAUAUCAAAUCUAAUGUGGUGGUGGUUUGCAAAGUAAUUCA
Molecule: microRNA precursor, 59 nt
Filed under: Rattus norvegicus (Norway rat)
Lineage: Eukaryota; Metazoa; Chordata; Mammalia; Rodentia; Muridae
Description: Rno-Mir-876-v1_pre stem-loop
Source: RNAcentral